AUUGAACGCUGGCGGCAUGCCUUACAUAUGCAAGUCGAACGGCAGCAUGGAGAGCUUGCUCUCUGAUGGCGAGUGGCGAACGGGUGAGUAAAGCAUCGGAACGUACCGUGUAGUGGGGGAUAACGUAGCGAAAGUUACGCUAAUACCGCAUACGCACUGAGGUGGAAAGCAGGGGAUCGUAAGACCUUGCGCUAUACGAGCGGCCGAUGUCAGAUUAGCUAGUCGGUAGGGUAAAGGCCUACCAAGGCGACGAUCUGUAGCGGGUCUGAGAGGAUGAUCCGCCACACUGGGACUGAGAAACGGCCCAGACUCCUACGGGAGGCAGCAGUGGGGAAUUUUGGACAAUGGGGGCAACCCUGAUUCAGCCAUGCCGCGUGAGUGAAGAAGGCCUUCGGGUUGUAAAGCUCUUUCGGCCGGGAAGAAAUCGCACAGGCUAAUACCCUGUGUGGAUGACGGUACCUGCAUAAGAAGCACCGGCUAACUACGUGCCAGCAGCCGCGGUAA
RNAcentral lists this ribosomal RNA (504 nucleotides) under uncultured bacterium. RNAcentral's name for it is "partial 16S ribosomal RNA". It matches the Rfam family "Bacterial small subunit ribosomal RNA", at positions 30 to 523 of the family's 1533-position model. The record is from RNAcentral.